RNAcentral lists this ribosomal RNA (807 nucleotides) under uncultured Sebacinales. Its description in RNAcentral is "eukaryotic LSU rRNA". The stretch from base 170 to 807 matches the Rfam family "Eukaryotic large subunit ribosomal RNA", at positions 1 to 615 of the family's 3401-position model. Lineage: Eukaryota; Fungi; Basidiomycota; Agaricomycetes; Sebacinales. The record is from RNAcentral.
UUGGACCCUGCUGUGUCACAAUGGCUGGUCUGAAAUGCAUGAGUGCACCCUGCUGUAGCAGCGUCUUCAGUGUGAUACGUAUCUUCACUGAUUCAAGCUCCCCUGUGGGACACGCUUGUCUGGUGGGCUCUGUGCUUCUAACCGUCCACAUGGACAACUCUUGACAAUUUGACCUCAAAUCGGGUGGGACUACCCGCUGAACUUAAGCAUAUCAAUAAGCGGAGGAAAAGAAACUAACAAGGAUUCCCCUAGUAACGGCGAGUGAAGAGGGAAAAGCUCAAAUUUUGAAUCUGGUACCUUUGGUGCCCGAGUUGUAAUCUAGAGAAGUGUUUUCUGCCUUGGACCACGCAUAAAUUCCCUGGAAUGGGGUGUCAUAGAGGGUGAGAAUCCCGUUUGUGGUGUGGACUACCUUGGCUUUGUGAUACACUCUCAACGAGUCGAGUUGUUUGGGAAUGCAGCUCAAAAUGGGUGGUAAAUUCCAUCUAAAGCUAAAUAUUGGCGAGAGACCGAUAGCGAACAAGUACCGUGAGGGAAAGAUGAAAAGCACUUUGGAAAGAGAGUGAAACAGUACGUGAAAUUGUUGAAAGGGAAGCGCUUGAGGUCAGUCACAUCUGUCAGGACUCAGCCAGGCUUCUGCCUGGUGUACUUCCUGGCCGGUGGGUCAGCGUCAGUUUUGACCGAGGGAGAAAGGCUUGGGGAAUGUGGCUGUCUUCGGGCAGUGUUAUAGCCCCUUGUUGUAUGUCUCGGUUGGGACUGAGGAUCGCAGCACGCCUUAUGGCCGGGGUUCGCGCCCUCGGUACGUGCUUA